CGCGUAGGCGGCCUGUUAAGUCAGAUGUGAAAGCCCUGGGCUCAACCUGGGAACGGCAUUUGAUACUGGUGGGCUGGAGUCUGGUAGAGGGGGUGGAAUUCCAGGUGUAGCGGUGAAAUGCGUAGAGAUCUGGAGGAACAUCCGUGGCGAAGGCGGCCCCCUGGACCGAGACUGACGCUGAGGUGCGAAAGCGUGGGGAGCAAACA
RNAcentral lists this ribosomal RNA (206 nucleotides) under uncultured bacterium. Its description in RNAcentral is "partial 16S ribosomal RNA". It matches the Rfam family "Bacterial small subunit ribosomal RNA", at positions 568 to 774 of the family's 1533-position model. The record is from RNAcentral.